RNAcentral lists this long non-coding RNA (802 nucleotides) under Callithrix jacchus (white-tufted-ear marmoset). RNAcentral describes it as "lncRNA (ENSCJAG00000064934.2)". Lineage: Eukaryota; Metazoa; Chordata; Mammalia; Primates; Cebidae. The record is from RNAcentral.
GUGCUAUCUUGCUUAAAAUGACUCCAAGUCAUUCUGCUCAUUGCAGGAUAAAGUCCAAGCUUCUUAGCAAAUCAGUGUGGUCACGGUGUUCUGCUGCCUUUGAUUCAGACGCUUCCUUUGCCACUUCCAAACAUGCACACACAACUCAGGCAUGCAUGACACACCUGCAGCUCCUAGAAGGUCUAAUACUCUCCCACGUGUUCUUACCCUUGGUCCUAUGUAUACUCUCAUGAGUGAUAGAUCAGGAUGAAGACUUUCAGAUAUGGAGUCUUGCUCUGUUGUCAGGCUGGAGUACAGUGGCAUGAUCUUGGCUCGCGGCAACCUCCACCUCUCAGUUCAAGCAAUUCUCCUGUCUCAGCCUCCGGAGUAGCCAGGAUUACAGGUCCUAAGAAUGGAAUUCAGGAGUGGACAAGACAUAACUUUUGCCAUGAAGCAUCUCAUCACACAAUGGAGUCUUGCUCUGCCACCCAGGCUAGAAUGCAGUGUCACAAUCUUGUCUCUGUGCAAACUCCGCCUCCUGUGUUCAAGGGAGUCUCCUGCCUCAGCCUCUGGAGUAGCUGGGAUUACAGGGCUUGUCAAAAUCCUACUCUUUUACUCACCUUACCAACACUCGGAGGCAUGACUUAUGUCUGAAACAAAACUACAAGAGCCAGUGUUUAUACACAAAAAUCUUGGAAUACUCUUGUUUUCAUUUCUUCUGUUGCAGCUUUUCUGGGAGCACCACUGUCUUCCAAAAACAAAUAAAAUGACUAAGAUUACAUUAAUUUGCAUUUCAUUACAUAAUCUGUUGAGAAAAUGGAAC